Molecule: ribosomal RNA, 162 nt
Filed under: Terebratalia transversa
Lineage: Eukaryota; Metazoa; Brachiopoda; Rhynchonellata; Terebratulida; Laqueidae
Description: 5.8S ribosomal RNA
Rfam family: 5.8S ribosomal RNA
About the family: 5.8S ribosomal RNA (5.8S rRNA) is a component of the large subunit of the eukaryotic ribosome. It is transcribed by RNA polymerase I as part of the 45S precursor that also contains 18S and 28S rRNA.
Source: RNAcentral
AUAUCACUCUGAGCGGUGGAUCACUCGGCUCGUGCGUCGAUGAAGAGCGCAGCCAGCUGCGUGAACUAAUGUGAAUUGCAGGACACAUUGAACAUCGACCUCUCGAACGCACAUUGCGGUCUCGGGCCAGUCCCGGGACCACGUCCGUCUGAGGGUCGGCUA